GACGAACGCUGGCGGCGUGCUUAACACAUGCAAGUCGAGCGACUGCAUUCUUUUCGGAGGGUGUAUGGAGCGGCGAACGGGUGAGUAACACGUGAGUAAUCUGCCUUUGGCUUGGGAAUAACUUCGGGAAAUCGGGGCUAAUGCCUGAUGUUUACUGUCUGCUGCAUGGUGGGUGGUGGAAAGAUUUUUUGGCCAGGGAUGAGCUCGCGGUCUAUCAGCNGUUGGUGGGGGUAAUGGCUUACCAAGGCGACGACGGGUAGCCGGCCUGAGAGGGCGACCGGCCACACUGGGACUGAGACACGGCCCAGACUCCUACGGGAGGCAGCAGUGGGGAAUCUUGCGCAAUGGGCGAAAGCCUGACGCAGCGACGCCGCGUGAGGGAUGACGGCCU
This 391-nucleotide ribosomal RNA is filed under the name uncultured bacterium. RNAcentral's name for it is "bacterial SSU rRNA". It matches the Rfam family "Bacterial small subunit ribosomal RNA", at positions 28 to 417 of the family's 1533-position model. The record is from RNAcentral.